Non-coding RNA from Bombyx mori (domestic silkworm), 116 nucleotides. NCBI's taxonomy places the organism in Eukaryota, Metazoa, Arthropoda, Insecta, Lepidoptera, Bombycidae. The record is from RefSeq and is marked provisional.
GGGCAUGGCGGCAUCGCAAAUGUUUGCCAUGGUGCCCCGGAACCAGCCGACCUCCGCAUCCACGUCCGCGAGCCGCGCGGGUUUUGGCGCCCACGCAGCAACAGCGGCCGCCUCCA